RNAcentral lists this unclassified non-coding RNA (294 nucleotides) under uncultured fungus. Its description in RNAcentral is "partial contains small subunit ribosomal RNA, internal transcribed spacer 1, and 5.8S ribosomal RNA". The stretch from base 1 to 73 matches the Rfam family "Eukaryotic small subunit ribosomal RNA", at positions 1759 to 1831 of the family's 1831-position model. The record is from RNAcentral. Lineage: Eukaryota; Fungi.
UCAAACUUGGUCAUUUAGAGGAAGUAAAAGUCGUAACAAGGUUUCUGUAGAGGAAUCUGCAGAAGGAUCAUUAAAGAUUUACUAUUAUAAACCCCUUGUGCACUAUGUGUUUAGAGUUGCUUGGCGGGAGCGCAGUCACUGCAUAGUCUCUGCCGCGUCUCGGCCUCAGUGCCGGACACCCGCCAACGCACUCGCCUUUAACAAACUCUUAAAGCUUUGACUGAUACAUUAAAGUUAAUUAAAACAACUUUCAACAAUGGAUCUCUUGGCUCUCGCAUCGAUGAAGAACGCAGC